This 460-nucleotide ribosomal RNA is filed under the name uncultured bacterium. RNAcentral's name for it is "partial 16S ribosomal RNA". It matches the Rfam family "Bacterial small subunit ribosomal RNA", at positions 338 to 795 of the family's 1533-position model. The record is from RNAcentral.
CCUACGGGUGGCAGCAGUGAGGAAUAUUGGUCAAUGGGCGGGAGCCUGAACCAGCCAAGCCGCGUGAGGGAAGAAGGUACAGCGUAUCGUAAACCUCUUUUGUCAGGGAACAAAGGCGGGGACUAGUCCCCGGAUGAGGGUACCUGAAGAAAAAGCAUCGGCUAACUCCGUGCCAGCAGCCGCGGUAAUACGGAGGAUGCGAGCGUUAUCCGGAUUUAUUGGGUUUAAAGGGUGCGCAGGCGGCCUUUUAAGUCAGCGGUGAAAGUCUGUGGCUCAACCAUAGAAUUGCCGUUGAAACUGGGAGGCUUGAGUAUGUUUGAGGCAGGCGGAAUGCGUGGUGUAGCGGUGAAAUGCUUAGAUAUCACGCAGAACCCCGAUUGCGAAGGCAGCCUGCCAAGCCAUGACUGACGCUGAUGCACGAAAGCGUGGGGAUCAAACAGGAUUAGAUACCCUUGUAGUC